AAGUCGUAACAAGGUUUCCGUAGGUGAACCUGCGGAAGGAUCAUUACCACAUCCAAAACUAUCCACCCACAUGUGUGCACUGUUUUUCUUUGCCAGUGGUGUUUGUCUGAGAAGAGAAGCACGGCUGGCAAGGGAACAUGUUUCAAAACAACCACUUGUGAAACACUUUUACACCAAUUAAAACCACAAAAAACGAAACUUGAGAGACAACUUUUAACGAUGGAUCUCUUGGCUCGU
Molecule: unclassified non-coding RNA, 237 nt
Filed under: fungal sp.
Lineage: Eukaryota; Fungi
Description: partial internal transcribed spacer region
Rfam family: Eukaryotic small subunit ribosomal RNA (bases 1-46)
Source: RNAcentral